CGCAGCCGCGGUAAUUCCAGCUCCAAUAGCGUAUAUUAAAGUUGUUGCAGUUAAAAAGCUCGUAGUUGAAUUUCGGGGUUAGUAGGUUGGUCAUGCCUCUGGUAUGUACUGGUCUCACUGAUUCCUCCUUCCUGAUGAGCCGUAAUGCCAUUAAUUUGGUGUUGCGGGGAAUUUGGACUGUUACUUUGAAAAAAUUAGAGUGUUUAAAGCAAGCUAACGCUUGAAUACAUUAGCAUGGAAUAAUGAAAUAGGACGUUCGAUCCUAUUUUGUUGGUUUCUAGGAUUGACGUAAUGGUUAAUAGGGAUAGUUGGGGGCAUUAGUAUUCAAUUGUCAGAGGUGAAAUUCUUGGAUUUAUUGAAGACUAACUACUGCGAAAGCAUUUGCCAAGGAUGUUUUCAUUAAUCAAGAACGAAAGUUAGGGGAUCGAAGACGAUCAGAUACCGUCGUAGUCUUAACCAUAAACUAUGCCGACUAGGGAUCGGAUGAUGUUAAUUUUUUAAUGUACUUCUAUUCCGGCGUCCGUUAACGGGAAACCC
RNAcentral lists this ribosomal RNA (537 nucleotides) under uncultured Glomus. Its description in RNAcentral is "SSU rRNA". It matches the Rfam family "Eukaryotic small subunit ribosomal RNA", at positions 569 to 1100 of the family's 1831-position model. Lineage: Eukaryota; Fungi; Glomeromycota; Glomeromycetes; Glomerales; Glomeraceae. The record is from RNAcentral.